GAACGGGAUUUGUAUGGUGCUUGCACCAUGUAAUGAGAGUAGCGCACUGGUGAGUAACACGUGGGAACAUACCUUGAAGUGGGGGACAACAGUUGGAAACGACUGCUAAUACCGCAUAAUCCCUGAGGGGGAAAGAUUUAUCGCUUUAAGAUUGGCCCGCGGAAGAUUAGGUAGUUGGUGGGGUAAAGGCCUACCAAGCCGACGAUCUAUAGCUGGUCUGAGAGGACGAACAGCCACAUUGGAACUGAGACACGGUCCAGACUCCUACGGGAGGCAGCAGUGAGGAAUAUUGGGCAAUGGAGGAAACUCUGACCCAGCCAUGCCGCGUGAGUGAAGAAGGUUUUCGAAUUGUAAAGCUCUUUCGGAUGGGACGAUGAUGACGGUACCAUCUAAAGAAGCCCCGGCAAACUUCGUGCCAGCAGCCGCGGUAAUACGAAGGGGGCAAGCGUUGUUCGGAAUUACUGGGCGUAAAGGGUGUGUAGGCGGAUUUGUAAGAUAGUGG
This 502-nucleotide ribosomal RNA is filed under the name uncultured bacterium. RNAcentral's name for it is "bacterial SSU rRNA". It matches the Rfam family "Bacterial small subunit ribosomal RNA", at positions 64 to 594 of the family's 1533-position model. The record is from RNAcentral.